RNAcentral lists this unclassified non-coding RNA (307 nucleotides) under plant metagenome. RNAcentral describes it as "partial contains 5.8S ribosomal RNA, internal transcribed spacer 2, and large subunit ribosomal RNA". The stretch from base 1 to 105 matches the Rfam family "5.8S ribosomal RNA", at positions 50 to 154 of the family's 154-position model. The record is from RNAcentral.
GAAAUGCGAUAAGUAGUGUGAAUUGCAGAAUUCAGUGAAUCAUCGAAUCUUUGAACGCACAUUGCGCCCCUCGGCAUUCCGUGGGGCAUGCCUGUUCGAGCGUCAUCUACACCCUCAAGCUCUGCUUGGUGUUGGGCGUCUGUCCCGCCUCCGCGCGCGGACUCGCCCCAAAUGCAUUGGCAGCGGUUCCUUGCCCCCCUCUUUGCGCAGCUCAUUGCCAUUCGAGGCGGCGGCGGCCCGCGUCCAACAAGCUCAACCCCCCCGUCUUUGACCUCGGAUCAGGUAGGGAUACCCGCUGAACUUAAGC